AUGACACUCUGUCUUCCUCCUUCCCAUUCUGCAGGAGUUGCUGGCGAGCGGCAGACCACCACAGCGGCGGCAUCUGGCGGUUCAGGUGUUGCAGCAGCUAUGUCGUCUAACAUUCAGGAUAUGAGCGCUUCCAGCAGUCAGUCAGCGGGAGGUGGGGGGAAUUAUGGAACAGCGGGAAGUUCUGCAGGUCAUGGAAGUGAAUCUUCGAUGGACUCAGAAGCUGGAGUUGAGAGCAGCUCAACAACACAAACAGGUUCUGACGGAGUGGACUCAGAGUCCAACGGUAACGGACAGAAACUGAUGAAUGGAGGGGAUGUAGGGGGCGGAGCUGACAGUCAGACAGGUCCGCUGGAUUCCACAGUGAUGAGUUCGGGUGUGACAGCAGCUCAGUCUGUGGAUAAGAGCAGCGGUUUCAGUCUGGACUCUCUUUCAGAUCCUGCUUAUCACUCUGACAUCCGCAUCAACCAAUCAGGACCAGACCACAGCUCUUUGAGCUCAGCGCCCGACCAAUCACAUUCCAGCUCUUUCUCUGUCUCAGGCUUCUCCCACUUUGCAGUCCAGGGGGAUGUAGCAGAUUCAUCAUCUUCAUCCCACAGUGAAGCUCAAAGAGUACAGACAGGUGAGCAAGCACACCUGUACGCACCUGUAUCCUGCCAGUACACCCAUUUCCACCUCUGUACUGACCUGUAUUUACCUUUACACAAGUGGCAAACGUACUUACCUGUACUCAACUGUACACACCUGUAUGCACAUCAAGUCACCUGUGCACACCAAAAAGACCGAAAGCUAUCACCUAGUGAAUCCCUGGAUUUUAUUAGAACAAAUAUAUGAGAAUUAAAAUCAACCUUUUCGACGUAAAAUGACACCUAUACUUUAAUGAUUUAUAUUACAUUACAUGUCAUUUAGCUGACGCUUUUAUCCAAAGCGACUUACAAUAAGUGCAUUCAACCAUAGGGUACAAACUCAGAAGAACAAGAAACAAGAAAGUGCAUUUUCCUCAAAUAAGCCAAUUUACAAUUUGCUAUAGAUGGCGUUAUAAGUACAAUUUAAGUGCAUCAAUUUGUUAGUCUUUUAGUCGAGGUAGAGUCUGAAGAGGUGUGUCUUUAGUUUGCGGCGGAAGAUGUGAAGGCUCUCUGCGGUCCUGAUGUCUUCAGAGAGCUCGUUCCACCAUUUCGGAGCAGAACAGCAAAGAGUCGUGAUCUAGUCGAGUGUUUUGCUCUCAGUGAGGAGGAACAAGCAGUUUAUCACAUGCAGAGCGGAGAGUGCAGGUCGGGAUGUCGGGUUGGACCAGGUCCUGGAUGUAAGCUGGACCCCAUCCAUUCACAGCAUGGUACGUGAGUACCAGUGUUUAGAACUGGAUGAGCCACCGGUACCAGUGAAGAGAGCGGAGGAGUGGAGGAGUGUGGGAGAACUGCUGCAUUCUGGUUGAGCUGCAGAGGUGGAAUGGUGGUUGCAGGAGAGAGUUACAGUAGUCCAGGAGGGAGAUGACAAGAGCCUGAAUCAGUACCUGGGCAACCAUUUAUAGAGACAUGCUUGGAACUAAAGUACACCCUGAUAGUUGUGACACUAAUACAACAUACUACGUUUUUUUGUAGUAUUAGAACCAGAAUUACUGGAAUCAGGAAUCUCGAUCAUUUAUUACCAAAAAAUGUCAUACAAGGAAUUUUACUUGGCGGUUGGUGCAUAACAUCAGACAGUAGGACAAUGGACAACAAGACAGAUAAGACAACACAGUGCAAGAGGGAUUUAAAUUAAAAAUAAAAGUUUAAAAAGUAAAUAAAAUAAGUGUUUGUGUGGUCUUGUGAGAUCUUGGUCCUGAUUGACCUCAACCUCCUGCCAGGGGCACAAACAGGUUUUGUCCGGGGUGAGAGGGGUCGGCUACAAUCUUUUUAGCUCGCUUCAGGGUCCUGGAGGGACGGCAGAUUGCUGCCGAUCACCCUCUCUGCAGAACGGAGGACACGCUGCAGCCUGCCCUUGUCCUUGGCUGUGGCUGCAGCGUACCAGACGGUGAUGGAGGAGCAGAGGAUGGACUC
Gasterosteus aculeatus (three-spined stickleback) is the source of this 2033-nucleotide long non-coding RNA. The record is from Ensembl. Lineage: Eukaryota; Metazoa; Chordata; Actinopteri; Perciformes; Gasterosteidae.